RNAcentral lists this ribosomal RNA (475 nucleotides) under uncultured bacterium. RNAcentral's name for it is "bacterial SSU rRNA". It matches the Rfam family "Bacterial small subunit ribosomal RNA", at positions 335 to 799 of the family's 1533-position model. The record is from RNAcentral.
ACUCCUACGGGAGGCAGCAGUGGGGAAUAUUGCACAAUGGGCGCAAGCCUGAUGCAGCCAUGCCGCGUGUGUGAAGAAGGCCUUCGGGUUGUAAAGCACUUUCAGUCGUGAGGAAGGUAGUGUAGUUAACACCUGCACUAUUUGACGUUACCUACAGAAGAAGCACCGGCUAACUCCGUGCCAGCAGCCGCGGUAAUACGGAGGGGUGCGAGCGUUAAUCGGAAUUACUGGGGCGUAAAGCGCAUGCAGGCGGCCUGUUAAGUCAGAUGUGAAAGCCCGGGGGCUUAACCUCGGAAUUGCAUUUGAAACUGGCAGGCUAGAGUCUUGUAGAGGGGGUAGAAUUUCAGGUGUAGCGGUGAAAUGCGUAGAGAUCUGAAGGAAUACCAGUGGCGAAGGCGGCCCCCUGGACAAAGACUGACGCUCAGAUGCGAAAGCGUGGGGAGCAAACAGGAUUAGAUACCCUGGUAGGAUAGCG